This 418-nucleotide ribosomal RNA is filed under the name uncultured bacterium. RNAcentral's name for it is "bacterial SSU rRNA". It matches the Rfam family "Bacterial small subunit ribosomal RNA", at positions 355 to 787 of the family's 1533-position model. The record is from RNAcentral.
UGGGGAAUAUUGGGCAAUGGGCGCAAGCCUGACCCAGCAACGCCGCGUGAAGGAAGAAGGCUUUCGGGUUGUAAACUUCUUUUCUCAGGGACGAAGCAAGUGACGGUACCUGAGGAAUAAGCCACGGCUAACUACGUGCCAGCAGCCGCGGUAAUACGUAGGUGGCAAGCGUUAUCCGGAUUUACUGGGUGUAAAGGGCGUGUAGGCGGGAAAGCAAGUCAGAUGUGAAAACCAUGGGCUCAACCUGUGGCCUGCAUUUGAAACUGUUUUCUUGAGUACUGGAGAGGCAGACGGAAUUCCUAGUGUAGCGGUGAAAUGCGUAGAUAUUAGGAGGAACACCAGUGGCGAAGGCGGUCUGCUGGACAGCAACUGACGCUGAGGCGCGAAAGCGUGGGGAGCAAAUCAGGAUUAGAUACCC